Cyanistes caeruleus (blue tit) is the source of this 1612-nucleotide non-coding RNA. The record is from RefSeq and is a predicted model, not a curated record. NCBI's taxonomy places the organism in Eukaryota, Metazoa, Chordata, Aves, Passeriformes, Paridae.
AUUUUAGGGGGAGGGUUUCUCUCACUUUGCUUGGGCACGGAGCAGUUGCAGAAGAGGGGUUUAUGGUGGGCUUCCCUGGGGGUACCUCAUGGAAUGAUACUGAGACCAUCUCAUAGGAUCUGGGAGAACAGCUGGAUGCGUUUGGACAUGGAGCAUUGCUUAAAGGAGGUGCCGAGGGAGAAACCUUUGUGUCUGGAAGCAGCAUCGGAGCAAGGCCAAAUACGAGUGGCAAAACAACGUUGGCAUGGAACUGCUGCAGGAGAGGAGUUUCUGGUGGGCUCCCAGUGGCAUCUGAUGGAGUGACGGUGAGAGCAUCUCAUAGGGUCUGGGGGAGCACCUGGAUGCACUUAGACUUGGAGUACUGCUUAAAAGAGGUGGUGAUGGACAAAGCUUUUUGCCAGGAAGCAGCACCUGAACAGCUGAGCUAGUGUGGAUUUGCAGGGGUGAUCUUUGUCCUUUUCCCUUUUGAUUUCAUCGUGGCAGUCCCUCCCCGGUGCCCUCAAUCUGUCAAAUGAAUUCCAAGAAAAAAAGGCUGAGCAAACAGUGAAAAGAAGGGGUAUAGGUAAGGUGGAGUUCAGGUGUACCCCACCCCAAACCCUAAACAGCAGCCCUAACAGUGCUCCCGUUUCCUUGAGACAGCUGCAGGCAGGAACCCUAAAGCAGCAGAGUGCCAGAACCCACGAGAGGUGCAGGCAGUUCCCUGGUGCUAGGGCCAGCCAGGAAGAGAUAGUGGGGGGACGAUCCGCAGGGUUGGGGAAACAGGGGGUUUCCCGCCCCACCCCACCCUGGGCUCUCUGUCCCUCCGCAGCCGGGGAUUGCUCCCAGCCCUCCUCGAGGCGGCGGUUGGUAAGGCUUCGUGCCUGGCCUCCGCAAAGAGUUCGGCUCUGUCAGCCUCUGCCCUGUCUCAGGGCCAAACUUAGGUAGGGUAGGGAGCAACUGUGGAUUGCCUGGUCCGGGCUAAGGGACAUCUCUUGGGGCCUAUGGAUAAGGAGCAUCCCCGGUUGCAAGCGUAGGGUUGUAAGUUUGUAGGGUUCAGUGGGGCAGCUUGGCAGUGACACAGAGAGGCUGAGGGAGGGCUUCAGAGGUCAAGGGCUCGAGGGCUGGAGACAAACAGUGAAAAUAAAAGGGGUACAGGUUGGGAUAUAAGGUAGAGUACAGGUCUAUUCAAACCCUAAACAGUAGCCCUAACAGUGCUCCCGUUUCCUUGAGACAGCUGCAGGUAGGAACCCUAAAAGCAGCAGAGUGCCAGAACCCACGAGAGGUGCAGGCAGUACCCCUGGUGCUAGGGCCAGCCAGGAAGAGAUAGUGGGGGGACGAUCCGCAGGGUUGGGGAAACAGGGGGUUUCCCGCCCCGCCCCACCCUGGGCUCUCUGUCCCUCCGCAGCCGGGGAUUGCUCCCACCCCUCCUCGAGGCGGCGGUUGGUAAGGCUUCGUGCCUGGCCUCCGCAAAGAGUUCGGCUCUGUCAGCCUCUGCCCUGUCUCAGGGCCAAACUUAGGUAGGGUAGGGAGCAACUGUGGAUUGCCUGGUCCGGGCUAAGGGACAUCUCUUGGGGCCUAUGGAUAAGGAGCAUCCCCGGUUGCAAGCGUAGGGUUGUAAGUUUGUAGGGUUCAG